Molecule: ribosomal RNA, 446 nt
Filed under: uncultured bacterium
Lineage: Bacteria
Description: bacterial SSU rRNA
Rfam family: Bacterial small subunit ribosomal RNA
Source: RNAcentral
GCCAGACUCCUACGGGAGGCAGCAGUGGGGAAUAUUGCACAAUGGGGGAAACCCUGAUGCAGCGACGCCGCGUGAGUGAAGAAGUAUUUCGGUAUGUAAAGCUCUAUCAGCAGGAACGAGACAAGACGGUACCUGACUAAGAAGCCCCGGCUAACUACGUGCCAGCAGCCGCGGUAAUACGUAGGGGGCAAGCGUUAUCCGGAAUCACUGGGUGUAAAGGGAGCGUAGACGGCUGUGCAAGCCUGAAGUGAAAGGCGGGGGCCCAACCCCUGGACUGCUUUGGGAACUGUACGGCUGGAGUGCAGGAGAGGUAAGUGGAAUUCCUAGUGUAGCGGUGAAAUGCGUAGAUAUUAGGAGGAACACCAGUGGCGAAGGCGGCUUACUGGACUGUAACUGACGUUGAGGCUCGAAAGCGUGGGGAGCAAACAGGAUUAGAUACCCCGGUA